CGUCCUGUAGUGUUGUGGUUAGCGCGCUCGCCUCGUUAGCGAGAGGACCCGGGUUCGAUUCCCGGUCGGGACGA
Non-coding RNA from Callorhinchus milii (elephant shark), 74 nucleotides. The record is from the annotation of a RefSeq genome assembly. Lineage: Eukaryota; Metazoa; Chordata; Chondrichthyes; Chimaeriformes; Callorhinchidae.